This 253-nucleotide ribosomal RNA is filed under the name uncultured bacterium. Its description in RNAcentral is "partial 16S ribosomal RNA". It matches the Rfam family "Bacterial small subunit ribosomal RNA", at positions 524 to 776 of the family's 1533-position model. The record is from RNAcentral.
UACGAAGGGGGCUAGCGUUGUUCGGAAUUACUGGGCGUAAAGCGCGUGUAGGCUGCUCUGCAAGUCGGGUGUGAAAGCCCCGGGCUCAACCUGGGAAGUGCACUCGAAACUGCAGAGCUCGAGUCCUGGAGAGGAAGGCGGAAUUCUCGGUGUAGAGGUGAAAUUCGUAAAUAUCGAGAGGAACACCGGUGGCGAAGGCGGCCUUCUGGACAGUGACUGACGCUGAGACGCGAAAGCGUGGGGAGCAAACAGG